This 537-nucleotide ribosomal RNA is filed under the name Phoma sp. F178.1. RNAcentral's name for it is "eukaryotic LSU rRNA". The stretch from base 192 to 345 matches the Rfam family "5.8S ribosomal RNA". The record is from RNAcentral. Lineage: Eukaryota; Fungi; Ascomycota; Dothideomycetes; Pleosporales; Didymellaceae.
GUAAAAGUCGUAACAAGGUUUCCGUAGGUGAACCUGCGGAAGGAUCAUUACCUAGAGUUGUAGGCUUUGCCUGCUAUCUCUUACCCAUGUCUUUUGAGUACCUUACGUUUCCUCGGUGGGUUCGCCCACCGAUUGGACAAACUUAAACCCUUUGCAGUUGAAAUCAGCGUCUGAAAAAACUUAAUAGUUACAACUUUCAACAACGGAUCUCUUGGUUCUGGCAUCGAUGAAGAACGCAGCGAAAUGCGAUAAGUAGUGUGAAUUGCAGAAUUCAGUGAAUCAUCGAAUCUUUGAACGCACAUUGCGCCCCUUGGUAUUCCAUGGGGCAUGCCUGUUCGAGCGUCAUUUGUACCUUCAAGCUCUGCUUGGUGUUGGGUGUUUGUCUCCUGUAGACUCGCCUUAAAACAAUUGGCAGCCGGCGUAUUGAUUUCGGAGCGCAGUACAUCUCGCGCUUUGCACUCAUAACGACGACAUCCAAAAGUACAUUUUUACACUCUUGACCUCGGAUCAGGUAGGGAUACCCGCUGAACUUAAGCA